RNAcentral lists this ribosomal RNA (342 nucleotides) under Triticum aestivum (bread wheat). Its description in RNAcentral is "partial small subunit ribosomal RNA". Lineage: Eukaryota; Viridiplantae; Streptophyta; Magnoliopsida; Poales; Poaceae. The record is from RNAcentral.
AUGCCCUGCACUCAUGUCAUUGCCGUCUGUUGUCAGAUUGGGGUUAGCACUGCUACAUACAUGUCUCCAUACUACAACCUGGCCUACCUAGGUAGGAUCUGGAGUGGAAAUUUUGAUGAAUAUAAGAUCUCACGCAGCUACAGAAAUAUCACGCCAUUUGAAUGCAAUACAACAACUUGGAUCCCAGACAAAAGAUUGGAGUGUGGUCUUCCUGUUUUUGUAACAUCGGACUGCCUAGAAACUGUUGCGGAUGAGUCAGAGCAACAAUGCAACACUGGAAAUGGAUCUACUGAAGACAAUCAAGGAGCUACAACACGCGCUGAAGAACCUAAUGAGAUUUAA